ACAAUCAUAAGCUGGCCAUAUUGGCCGUGA
Molecule: small RNA, 30 nt
Filed under: Bombyx mori (domestic silkworm)
Lineage: Eukaryota; Metazoa; Arthropoda; Insecta; Lepidoptera; Bombycidae
Description: ovarian small RNA-10967
Source: RNAcentral